RNAcentral lists this ribosomal RNA (497 nucleotides) under uncultured bacterium. Its description in RNAcentral is "partial 16S ribosomal RNA". It matches the Rfam family "Bacterial small subunit ribosomal RNA", at positions 28 to 507 of the family's 1533-position model. The record is from RNAcentral.
GACGAACGCUGGCGGCGUGCCUAAUACAUGCAAGUAGAACGCUGAAGAGAGGAGCUUGCUCUUCUUGGAUGAGUUGCGAACGGGUGAGUAACGCGUAGGUAACCUGCCUUGUAGCGGGGGAUAACUAUUGGAAACGAUAGCUAAUACCGCAUAACAAUGGAUGACACAUGUCAUUUAUUUGAAAGGGGCAAUUGCUCCACUACAAGAUGGACCUGCGUUGUAUUAGCUAGUAGGUGAGGUAAUGGCUCACCUAGGCGACGAUACAUAGCCGACCUGAGAGGGUGAUCGGCCACACUGGGACUGAGACACGGCCCAGACUCCUACGGGAGGCAGCAGUAGGGAAUCUUCGGCUAUGGGGGCAACCCUGACCGAGCAACGCCGCGUGAGUGAAGAAGGUUUUCGGAUCGUAAAGCUCGGUUGUAAGUCAAGAACGGGUGUGAGAGUGGAAAGUUCACACUGUGACGGUAGCUUACCAGAAAGGGACGGCUAACUACGUG